UUAUAUGAGAGUUUGAUCCUGGCUCAGGAUGAACGCCGGCGGUGUGCCUAAUACAUGCAAGUC
RNAcentral lists this ribosomal RNA (63 nucleotides) under Limosilactobacillus reuteri. Its description in RNAcentral is "partial 16S ribosomal RNA". It matches the Rfam family "Bacterial small subunit ribosomal RNA", at positions 1 to 63 of the family's 1533-position model. The record is from RNAcentral. Lineage: Bacteria; Bacillati; Bacillota; Bacilli; Lactobacillales; Lactobacillaceae. RNAcentral also lists the same sequence under 1 other name.